RNAcentral lists this unclassified non-coding RNA (228 nucleotides) under plant metagenome. Its description in RNAcentral is "partial contains small subunit ribosomal RNA, internal transcribed spacer 1, and 5.8S ribosomal RNA". The stretch from base 1 to 54 matches the Rfam family "Eukaryotic small subunit ribosomal RNA", at positions 1778 to 1831 of the family's 1831-position model. The record is from RNAcentral.
GAAAGUAAAAGUCGUAACAAGGUUUCCGUAGGUGAACCUGCGGAAGGAUCAUUCAUAAUAGGUGUUUUAUGGCACUUUUUAAAUCCAUAUCCACCUUGUGUGCAAUGUCAGUCGUUCUCUUCUAUGGGAACGACCAAACAUCAACCAACUCUUUAACUCUUUGUCUGAAUAAUAUUACGAAUAAAAUAAUUCAAAAUACAACUUUCAACAACGGAUCUCUUGGCUCUC